CGGGAAAGAGCGUAGUAAGUGACGAAAUUCUUCGGGGAGUUAAAAAUAAGUGUAGAUCUAGAGAUUCUCGAAUAGGUCACCCUUUUGAAUUGUUACUGAACUUGGAGAUUUGAAACAUUAAACAUCUUAAUAACUGGAGGAAAAGAAAGCAAAAGCUAUUUUCGUAAUGGCGACGAGCGAAAUAGGAGCAAUUUAAACCGUGGAAACGGUGUUGUGGGAAAGCAAUAAAAGUGUCGCGCUGCUAGGCGAAGCGGUGAAGUGUCAAACCCUAGAUGGCAAUUACACUCUGACCGAGUAGCACUAUAUGCAGGGGUUAGCAGGAGCCUGAUAAAAAUUAUAAAG
Molecule: non-coding RNA, 342 nt
Organism: Gossypium raimondii (Peruvian cotton)
Lineage: Eukaryota; Viridiplantae; Streptophyta; Magnoliopsida; Malvales; Malvaceae
Source: Rfam